Molecule: ribosomal RNA, 253 nt
Filed under: uncultured bacterium
Lineage: Bacteria
Description: partial 16S ribosomal RNA
Rfam family: Bacterial small subunit ribosomal RNA
Source: RNAcentral
GACGAAGGUGGUAAGCGUUGCUCGGAAUUACUGGGCAUAAAGAGCGCGUAGGUGGCGCGGUCAGCGGGAGAUGACAUCCCAUGGCUCACCCAUGGAACUGUUUCUCGAACUGCCGUGCUUGAGGUCGAGAGGGGAGAGUGGAAUUCCUGGUGUAGCGGUGAAAUGCGUAGAUAUCAGGAGGAACACCGGUGGCGAAAGCGACUCUCUGGCUCGAUCCUGACACUGAGGCGCGAAAGCUAGGGGAGCAAACAGG